This 71-nucleotide transfer RNA is filed under the name Candidatus Yanofskybacteria bacterium RIFCSPHIGHO2_02_FULL_43_22. RNAcentral describes it as "tRNA-Phe". It matches the Rfam family "tRNA". From Rfam's summary of the family: Transfer RNA (tRNA) molecules are approximately 80 nucleotides in length. The record is from RNAcentral. Lineage: Bacteria; Candidatus Yanofskyibacteriota.
GCCGGAGUAACUUAAUGGUAAAGUAGGUGCCUGAAGAGCAUCAAAAGGCAGUUCGAUUCUGCCCUCCGGCA